UCUUUCCAAGUUGAAGAAUUAGGGGUGAGAAUGAUUAACUGUUGCUUGUGACCUCACCAGGUACACUUUUGGCUUAUCUCCCACCAACGUUGGCUUAUUGCUGCUCUUGGACAAGUCUUCCCGAAUGAGGCAACUGAGGUCUCUCACGAGAACACAGAGGUGACAGCAUCGUCUCUGAAUCAUGAGCUAACCUUGCAAAUCCUAUGCACAUCUGGAUCUUAGCUCUAAUUUCUCAAAUCC
This 240-nucleotide long non-coding RNA is filed under the name Musa acuminata (dwarf banana). RNAcentral describes it as "long non-coding RNA (MACU_LNC011418)". Lineage: Eukaryota; Viridiplantae; Streptophyta; Magnoliopsida; Zingiberales; Musaceae. The record is from RNAcentral.